AGAGAGAGAGAGAGAGAGAGAGAGAGAGGACUGGUUGCUCUUCGUGUGAGCUGUGGUAUUAGAGUGCAUAUCGCUUUAAAAACAACUACCAGUGAGGGAGACCAAGAGACCGGCUGCAUUUCCUUAGAGGGAAUGUUUGUGUUUGUGGCGCUGAGACCAGCGAACAGAGGGUGCAUUGCUUCAAUGAGAAGGGAAGAGAGAGGAGGAAGAAGAGAGAAAGAGUCAGCAGGGACCACUGUCUGUGUGGGACUAGGGCAGAAGGACUAGCAGGGUUUGACCUUGAGGAGGCAUCAGACCGCUGAAUCCCAGAGAGACUGAGAGGACAGAGAGGGACAGAGGAGAGGAGGAAGCCGCAGGGUUAUCGUGUCUCAUUGUGGCUUACCUCUAGAGAUGACCCAGUUAUUAUCUAUUGGCGCUAAGUGGUAUCAAGAGGACAAUAAAGGCUAAUCAUAUCUUCUCAUUACCUGGGCCUCUGUGGAUUUUACCUGUAAUCGCUUACCUGUUCAAAUAAAAGUUUGCAAAUGUGAUACCUGUGGAUAUCCCACUGAUAUCAACUCGUACUGCUGUACAUACCUCUGGUGGUGUGUCUCUCAUCACAGAGUGUCAGUCGGUGCAGUAAUGGAGGCAGUCUUGUUGGGUCUAGACGAGGUGGUCUGUACUCGGCAGGGUCUGCUGUGGACUCUCACCUCCACAGCCCUCCGACGCCUUCGUGUGCAUGCCAGGAACCUUCCUGGACCGCUGCACUUAUUACACACACACAGGUGUGUUUCAAGGCCACUCUACCAGAUGACAGAGGGGAGGCGAUGUCAGGUCCAUCUCCUGGACGACAGGAAGCUGGAGCUCCUUGUACAGCCCAAGCUGAUGGCUAAGGAUUUGCUGGACCUUGUGGCCUCUCACUUCAACCUCAAGGAGAAGGAGUACUUUGGAAUUGCAUACACAGACGAAACGGGUCAUUUUAGUUGGCUGCAGUUGGACCGCAGGGUAUUAGAACAUGAGUUCCCCAAGAAGUCUGGUCCCAUCGUCCUCUACUUCUGUGUCAGAUUCUACAUAGAGAGUAUAUCCUACCUGAAGGACAAUGCCACUAUUGAGCUGUUUUUUCUUAAUGCCAAGUCGAUCAUCUACAAGGAGCUUAUUGAAGUGGACAGUGAUGUUGUUUUCGAAUUGGCUUCCUAUAUUCUACAAGAGGCUAAAGGUGAUUUCACCAGUAAUGAUGCAACCAGGUCUGACCUGAAAAAGCUGCCUGCUCUGCCCACCCAGGCCCUCAAGGAGCACCCAUCUCUGGCCUACUGUGAAGACCGGGUCAUAGAGCAUUACAAGAAGCUCAAUGGACAGUCCAGAGGGCAAGCUAUUGUAAAUUAUAUGAGCAUUGUAGAGUCUCUGCCCACAUAUGGAGUACAUUACUAUGCUGUAAAGGACAAGCAGGGGAUCCCAUGGUGGUUGGGUCUGAGCUAUAAAGGUAUCUUUCAAUAUGACCACCAGGACAAGGUCAAGCCCAGGAAGGUGUUCCAAUGGCGUCAGUUGGAGAACCUCUACUUCAGAGAGAAAAAGUUUUCAGUGGAAGUUCAUGACCCCAGGAGUAGGGCGUCAGUGACAAGAAGGACGUUUGGCCACAGUGGCAUUGCUGUGCAUACCUGGUACGCCUGUCCUGCCCUCAUCAAGUCCAUCUGGGCCAUGGCCAUCAGCCAACACCAGUUCUACCUGGACCGCAAGCAGAGCAAGUCGAAGAUCCAUGCAGCGCGGAGUUUGAGUGAGAUCGCUAUAGACCUUACUGAAACCGGAACUCUGAAGACGUCCAAACUGGCCAACAUGGGCAGCAAGGGCAAGAUUAUCAGUGGCAGCAGUGGCAGUCUACUCUCCUCAGGUUCUCAAGAAUCGGACAGCUCCCAGACAGCUAAGAAGGACAUGCUGGCAGCGCUGAGGGCCAGGCAGGAAGCUCUGGAAGAAACACUAAGACAGAGACUAGAAGAACUGAAGAGCAUCUGCAUCAGAGAGGCGGAGCUGACAGGAAAGCUUCCUAAAGAAUAUCCUCUGGAUCCGGGAGAGGAGCCGCCCACAGUGAGACGAAAGAUUGGUACCGCCUUCAAACUGGACGAGCAGAAAAUUCUUCCUAAGGGAGAGGAAGAGGAGCUGGAGCGGUUGGAGCGGGAGUUUGCCAUUCAGUCCCAGAUUACGGAGGCAGCCAGGCGUCUUGCCAGCGAUCCUCAUGUGAGCAGUAAGAAGCUGAAGAAACAGAGGAAGACUUCUUAUCUGAACGCACUGAAGAAGCUACAGGAAAUUGAGAACUCUAUCAAUGAGUACCGGGUCCGCUCUGGCAAGAAGCCUACGCAGAGAGCGUCGCUUAUCAUAGAAGAGGCCAAUAUUGGUUCUGAAGACAGCUCACUGUCUGACGCACUGGUCUUGGAUGAUGAUGACCCUCAAGUUACUGGUACCCCCACCUUCUCUCCGGUAGCAUCACCUCACAAGGGCCUCCCUCCUCGGCCACCAUCUCACAGUCGGCCCCCUCCACCGCAGUCCCUGGAUGGCCUGCGACACCUGCACUACACACGCUCUGACUACGAUAAAUCGCCCAUCAAGCCCAAGAUGUGGUGCGAAUCAUCACUGGAUGAGCCCUAUGAAAAAGUCAAGAAACGCUCCUCUCACUCCAGUCACAGGCGUUUCCCAAGCUCUGGCAGUGCUGAGGCAGGGGGCAGUAACUCUCUGCAGAACAGCCCCAUCAGGAGCCUCCCUCACUGGAAUUCUCAGUCCAGCAUGCCGUCGACCCCAGACCUGAGGUCCAGGACCCCACACUAUGUUCAUUCCACUAGGUCAGUGGACAUCAGUCCCACACGUCUGCACAGUCUUGCUCAGCACUUUAGGAACCGCAGCUCCAGCCUUGAGUCCCAGGGCAAACUGCUCGCAUCUGACCCUGACCCACACCCGCACACCCUGGGAACACUGGGCAGCCCUGACUUCUUCCUGGGCCCAGGACGCAGCUCCAAUGGCUCUGACCCACUGGAUGACUGUUCAUCCUGCACCAGCCAAAGCAGCUCAGAGCAUUACUACCCCUCUGGUGGACCCCCCGGCAGCAACCCCAACUACUCUACUCUGGGAGAGGAUUCACCCUCCAAAGCCAGGCAGAGGCAGAGGCAAAGGCACAGGUCUGCAGGACACCUGGGUUCCUCUAACUCCGGCUCCAUGCCAAACCUGGCAGCUAAGAACGGCUCUGGUGGAGGCUCAGGUGGAGGUGGGAUGGGAGGGGGACACCAUGGAGUUUACCUCCACAGCCAGAGCCAGCCCUCCUCCCAGUAUCGCAUCAAGGAGUACCCGCUGUACGUGGAGGGCAGCCCCAACCCCGUGGUGGUGCGCAGCCUGGAAAGCGAUCAGGAAGGCCACUACAGCGUCAAGGCCCAGUUCAAGACCUCCAGCUCCUACACGGCCGGGGGGUUGUACAAGGAAGCCUGGGGGGGCGAGGAGGGAGGAGAGGGGAGUGGCCGACUCACGCCGUCACGCUCUCAGAUCGUACGGACUCCGUCAUUGGGGCGAGAGGGCGGUGGAGGAGGAGGAGGGGGGAGGGCAGCAGUGUCUGAAGAGCUGCGAUGUUGGUACCAGAGGUCCUCAGGGAGCCUGAAGGAGAGGAGUCACUCACAUUCGGGAUCCACUUCCUCCGAGACAGGGUCACAGCAAGGCACUCUGGGACAUGGACGAGGGAGUAGAGUAGGGACACUCGCCAAGGGCUCACCAGCUGCAUCCCCUCACAGCCAGAGGAGUAUGACGCCCUCCAGUGAACACGCAGCCACACCCACACCCCCUUGUAGCCCACAGCACAUCCUCAACUGGCAGAGCGGAGGCACAGCAGACAGCUCUCCUACUGAGGACGUCUGUCAGUCUCCCCCUCAGCCCAGCUCUGAUGCAUAGAGGUACUGUCUGUGGUCUCGGCCUCCCAGUGGUCUAAAGCUACAGUGUACUGUUGGGAAAACACAGCAGCAGCAUAAGCAGAUAUUGCCAAAAAAAAAAAAAAAAACUGAAUAAACUAAAAAAAAAAUUUUUAAAAAUCUAGAAGUAAAAAUACAGCAGUGACAGCAGUACUAAAUUUACACACAAUCAGAUAUUCACAGAAAUCUGUCCGUACACACCUCUAAAAGUAUAAUGAGCUCAUGCGACAUGUCUACUAGUCACUUAUAUCAUCACCUGUGGGGGGGCUGACAAUGAAGAAGGUUCACAGUUUCUUGCUCUUUGAUGGUGGAGGUCUUUUAGCGACAGCUGUUUUCUCAGCAGCCCCCUGUGUUCAGAGCUGGCAGAUGUGCAGUGGUACGGACACGACAAGGCCAAACCUGGAACCCUGGUCUGAGACCUUCCUUUAGAGGCCCAGAAAAGUACCAUUGCCCUCUCCUACUGCCUCUCAACUGUCCCUCACUACUACCCAUCGACAACCAACAACCUCAUCCUUAAAGCCCUACAAAAACCCUACCCCGACCGGACUAGUGGACUGGACAUGAGCCUUCCUCCUCCCUAUAUCCUGCCCUUCAUCCAUCUCACCACCUCUUUAUUAUGCCCCCUCUAUCACAGCUCAGUCAGACAGGGACACACUCACUAGGCUCUGAUAAGGGCUGGUUUUACAGGAUAGACUGAGAAGUGUCACCUCAGCUGUUGAACUGUUGCCCUACAGCACCACAGAGCCCUUUCUUUACUCACCCUCUGCAGCACACAAGCAACGGGCACGGGGGGAAGGAGCGACCAAAAGGGAGAGAGCACAGAAAAAUAUCAAACACACAACUCAGACUCAACAAAACACUGGCCAUUCCAGGAUCUAUUUCAUAUCUCAUCUUUGGUCCCCCAACCUUACGAACUCCAGUGCACUGCCACCCAAUCAGAGGAUACCUGCUGGAUUUGAGCCACCAGUUUGAAACCCAUUUCCAGGCCCAAACGAACUGUGUUGGAUUUCAUUAUUCCCAUCAGUGUUGUUUGUCUGUCUUGUUUAUUUCUCCCUGCGUAUUUAUAAAAAGAGAACAUGACACAAACUUUUCAAAAAAUCUGGAUUAGCAAACAUGUAGAUGACAAAUUCAACUCCUCUCAGUUUUAACCCACAACCAAAGACAACUACUGGAUUGACUGAUCACACCAGGGUCUGAUGAGCUGGUGCCCCCUGCAGAAAAGUGACUGUCAGUCACCCGUCUGAGAGUGAAUUCACAAUGACAAUAUCAGGAUGGUUUCUGGGACUCUGUCUGGGAUAUUGAUGAGGACUAUAGCAAUAACAAACAUUGUACAAGUACACGAACUGGUUUGAAUCUUCAGAGUGAAUUGAAGCAGGCUUUUUGCCAUGUUCUCUGCCUUGUGACGCUUGGAGUAAAGGAUCAUUAGUGCAUCACAGGAAGAACAUGGAGUUGUGGUUAUUGGGUUUGGCAUUAAUCUUAUGAUUUCUUCAGUGACUUCAUCAUUCAUUUUUAUUAAUGUCUUUGGUCUUUAUAAGAUUUCUAUGUCCAUAACAGUUUGUUUGGCCGCAUGGUGGAUUAUGAACAGUACUUGAGCCAGAGCACGGAGGGUUGGGUUGAAGGGUGAUUUUUUUUUAACAUGGCUACACACAGUCACAAUUCCUGCAUCAUUUAAUUUCAGCUUUUCAUAUUUUUCAUCUUCAACCCUGAAAGUAAAGGACGAUUGGCUGUUGACACCUGUUGGCAUUACUUGUAGUUUGACAUUGAGGCUAUUCAGUGAUAAAUCUCUACAGUGACUCAUCUUUUUUUAUCACUAUUGUCUGUUCUUUGCCUUUGGUCUUGGUUUUAUAUUCACACCAUACUGUGCAUCUGUCAGUCUCUUUGUAGCACUGUGUUUUCUCAUCUUUCUGUCCCUCUCUUCAGCAUGACAGGAGAGAUCCUGACUGAGCACAGACAGUCUGAACUCAACGCUGGCCAGAACACAUGCUGACAGUCAGAACACUUGCAUUUAUGGGCACACGUGAAUACUAAUAUAUUUGUGCCAAACAUGUUUGUGCUUUACAUUUGUACUGUUUUCAGCACUAGAACAGCAGCUCCUUCAAGCUACAGACCCUUUCAAAUCCCCACAGUCUAUAGCCAUUCUAUAAAACAGCAGCAAUGCAGAGUAGCUAGAAGACACUUCACAUGCGUCUCUAUAAUUUGGCCUCUGGCAGUAUUGUUAAGAAAUUAGUCAAAGCACAACAUCAACAGUGUCUAUGAGGGCUGGAGCUACCAUUGGUAUGUUCAGUUCAUUUUCCACCCUCAAUAUUAUACUGAUGAGUUGUAUCAAAGUGCAUAAGAGGCUACUAGAAAAGCUAGAACCACAGAUGAGGCGUUAAUGGUGUUUGUUUUGUUUUUACAGUAUAUGGACAUCAAUGAAUUAAUAAUUAAUACUGUCAGGGCAGAAGAGAAGCCAUAAUCAGAACAGAUAGAAAAACCCUCUAAAAUGGAGAGAAUUAUUUUAUCACAUAUCCCAAUCAACAAUCAGAUAUUCAGAUCAGGGUUAGAAAAGCACAUCUGGUUUUGUACAAAGGAAGUAGAAUUCUGCAUGUCGUUGCUUUUCCUGAAUCAGUUUCCCUCAUCUGACCUUGAAAAAUGUUUAUGUUGCAGAAUGACGCUUACCAUUGUUUCGCUGUUGCACAAAAUCUGAAUUAAUCAGAUGUUAAUUUUAUUAAGAGUAUGACAGAUUGUACAUCUCAGUGACAGAGAGAAGUGGACAUGUUUUUUUGUUUUUUUUUUCAGUCACAUUGCACCAUUAUGUCUGGAUAAAUUGUGUAUCAUGCUGUAAUGCAUGGGAGGAAUGGUACGUAUGCUACCCUGUCUCUCACAGUGGUGUUUCCUUUAUGCACUGACGUCAGUUGUUGUAAUCUGUCACUUUCAAGACUGUUUUCAUAAGAAGGUUUAGCCCACUCCCAUGCCCCUGUGCAUGGCUGGUUCCCCCAAGAGUUAUCCAUCCAUGCCUGGUCAAAUUUGACAAGUCUUUACCCAGGAUUGGAACCAGCACUCACCACACAGUUACCAUCUCUAGUGUAUUGAAGUUUGACCCAACUUUUCUCACUGAAAGUUUGCGCCCAGAUCCUGUGCGCCAAAGACACACAAUCCCACGCAUGCCAUUCAGAUCCAGUGACAAAUAAAAACCCCUAAAACAUCCAGCAUCCGAUUUCUAUAUGCUAACAUUAGCACAUCUUGCUCUGUAGUGUCGCCCCACCCCCAGACAGUCCUGUUUUGCCCCUGUGGUGAUCUUUGACCCCCGAGUCCGAUGUGAUGAAGUGUGACGUCCCCUCCUUCUGUAGUUCCAAACACACCAUAUUUUCUGUGCUCCAUAGAGAUGUUUGAGGUUUUUAUAAUACUCCAAGAGAAAUUAACUUAACUCUUUAUCAGUCUUUUCCUGUAUGUACGGAGGGGCACUGUAAGGUUUUGUGGGGUUUUUAACAUUCACAUUCAUUGUUUUAACAAUGUUCCAUUUUAUAUGAACCAGUAUUGUUUUUUUUUUUUAGUUCUGACAUCGUAACAACCCUUCAGGUGCUACAAAAUGACCAGUUACUGCUUUGUCACGUAGGAUCUAGACAUCUGUUCAUUGUUAUCAAUAGAUUCAAUACCAGUUGUGCAAAAUGAAGCUUAUUUUAACAAACAGUUUAAUAGUAGAUCACUUCCCCUACCAGACAAUAGAGCAUGUAACUUGAUUUUAUCAGUUCUGUUCAACUGUAACAUUAAAGGUGUUGUAGAAAAAAUGUGGAAUUGAUAAGAAAAAAAAAACUGAAUUCCACAGUUAAUUUAUUCUUUUUUCUAUUAAAAAUUUGUAUAGUAACUUUACAUUUUUCAAAACUGUGUUGUUGGAAAUUGAUGAUGAAUUUUCAAGAUGCGAAGCCGUGGUGGUUCUUGAGAGUAAGAAAAAUAAAUUAUUGAUGAAUGUUCUCAAGACAA
RNA transcript from Seriola aureovittata, 7871 nucleotides. It is a transcript of the gene named FERM domain containing 4A, with no coding region annotated. NCBI's taxonomy places the organism in Eukaryota, Metazoa, Chordata, Actinopteri, Carangiformes, Carangidae. The transcript has 25 exons. The record is from RefSeq and is a predicted model, not a curated record.